UACGUAGGGGGCUAGCGUUGUCCGGAAUCAUUGGGCGUAAAGCGCGUGUAGGCGGUUCGGUAAGUCCGCUGUGAAAGUCGGGGGCUCAACCCUCGAAUGCCGGUGGAUACUGUCGGACUAGAGUACGGAAGAGGCGAGUGGAAUUCCUGGUGUAGCGGUGAAAUGCGUAGAUAUCACUAGGAACGCCGGUGGCGAAAGCGGCCGACUGGACCUCUUCUGACGCUGAGGCGCGAAAGCCAGGGGAGCGAACGGG
RNAcentral lists this ribosomal RNA (253 nucleotides) under uncultured bacterium. RNAcentral describes it as "partial 16S ribosomal RNA". It matches the Rfam family "Bacterial small subunit ribosomal RNA", at positions 524 to 776 of the family's 1533-position model. The record is from RNAcentral.